Long non-coding RNA from Sapajus apella (tufted capuchin), 4920 nucleotides. RefSeq lists it as uncharacterized. The transcript is spliced from 2 exons. Lineage: Eukaryota; Metazoa; Chordata; Mammalia; Primates; Cebidae. The record is from RefSeq and is a predicted model, not a curated record.
CCGCGCCUCUCAAGUUCGCGCAGAGAACUGCCAAGUCAGUUCCGGUCCGGCAGAGAACGCGGAGAGACGCGGAGCGCCGCGAGCUCCCCCUGGGCCCUCCAGGCCCUCCGGCCCCGGGCUGGCGGGUGAGCUGGGGGGCCCCGGGACAGGCUGUGCCCUCUGCCCUUCAGACACUGGAGGCCUCCGCUGUGGCUGCCCACUGGCCUGGCCAGGCUCAGGCCUUGAAGCCGUGGUGAACCUCUCUACCCCACCCCACUUCGGUGAUUGAUGGCGGCGGCGGCUUCUCCCAGCCAGUACCCCAGCCUGGACCCUGCUGGCCACUGGGUCUCCCGGCCCAAGUGUGCCAGGUCUCGACAGAGCCCCAGCUGAGCGGCCCGGAUGCAACGCCUUUGGGUGGCGGCGGGAGGGGUGGACCAGGAAACAUGGCGGCCGCUCGAAUGCUGCGCAGCGGAGGCCGUUAGGUCAUAGAGGGCCUGGGAAGGCGGCCUAAGGACGCAGGCAGGCUCGACUGCCUUUGUAGGCCACGGAGCCAUGCAGAUCCGGGUCCCCAGUGACCACUCCGUCCCCAUUGGGCGAGACCUACCUAGUCCUGACGACAACGGACAAAGGCCUUAACAGGCCUGGGAGGUGAGCGAAGUUCCGAACGACGACGGGUGGAACGGUUAGCGGUCAUCGGGCUGUUAGUCUUCAUUCUACCAGACCUUGCUGUCGGAAGAGAGAAACGGUAGAAUGACAGGCGAUGUUUGGCCCGUUGGAAAUGCCCACCACCCUCUGGGAAGAUUUACUGGCCGUUUAUGGAAGGCCUGUGUAUAUAAUAUGAAAAAGCUGCUCUCAACUCCACCCCAACCUUUUAAUAGAAAACAUUUGUCACAUCUAGCUCUUCUAGAUGUAAAGAGGUUGCCGACGUAUGAUAAAGUAGAGUUAGAAAACCACACAUCUUGUAAAUUCUCGUUUGUUUAAAAGAAAUCAUAGAAAAUACAUGUCUUCUGGAGAUGACUUUUGGAAAUGGAGUUGUUAGAUGGCCUCUGGAAGUGAUACAUCCAUGUUUGUUCAGUGGGUUAGAUGACGUGGAGCUGGAAGACCUGAAAAGGAGGAGAAGGAAGCUCUAUGCUAGACUGGUCAUAUUUAGAAGACAUUUUCAUAUUCUAGCCAUUGUUUUGUGUGCAUUUUAUUCUUCACUACUGUAUAUAUAGUUGACAAUGCUAAACUUUUUUGAAACGUCUGUUUUUAGAUGUUCUGAAGUGCCUGAUGUUAAAAUUAGAGGACGUAAAAUCAGAUUUUGUAAAUAUCUUUUUGUUACAAUUUGUAGGAAAUGUUUUUUUGCGGGGAAUGGCCAAAUCACCUGUUGAGUAAUACUCAGUGUGUGUGCAGUGGUUCAGGGGAGGAGGGAGGAAGGGGAGGUGCAGAGAGUUCUAUGCCACCCUGCUUACAGCAAGGCAAGAUGAAUUAUUAUCUCUGUGCAUUUUGUUUUAUUUACCUGUGCAUAUAGUGUACAUAAAGGACAAAUGAGUCCCAACUUUAACAACAUCUGGUCUUUCUAGAUGUUAAAGAGGUUGCCAGUGUAUGACAGAAGUAGAGUUAGUAACUUGUACAUUUUGUACAUGUUUUGUACAUUUUGUUUUACAAGUCUAGGAAAGAUUGUCUUCUGAAAAUUUGAGCAUUCUUGCCCACUGGGUUGAUGGAGAUGGGAAGGGUUCUAGGCCAGAAUGUUCACAUUUGGAAGGCUCUUUCAAAUUAUAACUGUUAUUACAUGUUUGCAGUUUAUUCAAGACUGCUGUGUCAUAGUGGACAAAUUAACUCCUUACUUGAAACAUCUAGUGCCCGAUGUAUGUUAAAUGUAGAGGUAGUAAAAUACCACUUUGUAAAUAUCUUUUUACUAAAAUUCAUAGGAAAUACUUUUGGAAAUUGAAUUGUGAAGCCACCUUUGUGAGCAGUAUAGUACUGUCUCUAUACUCGUUCAAUGGUUUAGAGGAGGUGGGAGGGAAGAAAUUGCAAACGGUAAUAUUCUAGUGUGUUCAACACUUGGACAUUUCAGACACUUUUUCUGUAGGUUUUGUGCAUUUUCUUUUGCUCUGUAUAUAGUGUAUAUAAUGGACAAUGAGUCCUAAUUUUUCAACAUCUAGACUCUAGAUGUUAAAGAGGUUGCCAGUGUAUGACAAAAUAUUUAGUAAAAUCAGUAUAUUUUGUACCCUUUGUGAUAAAAUUCAUAGGAAAACUUGUCUUCGGUAAACGACUUUUGCGUUGGAAUUUGUUCAGUCAUCUCUAAGCAUUACACAUGCCUAUACUUGUCCAAUGGAUUGAAGGCAGAGAAGAAAGAGAGGAGGGGAUGAUUCAAGGCCAAAAUGGUCAUAUUUAGAAGAUACCUCAGAUGAUAACCAUUGUUAUGUGUGUGCAAUUUUAGUUAACAGUGCUGUGUACAUGGUGGACAAGUUAUAUGAAAUAUCUAGUCUUUCUAGAUCUUUGGAAGUGCUUGGUGUAUUUAAAAGUAGUAGUAGAAUAACACUUUUUGUAAAUAGCUUUUAAAAAGUGAUGGGAAAUGCUGUUGGGAAGUGGAAUUGUGGAACCACCUGGCAGGUGGGAGGGAAGAAGUUACAAAAGGUGUUUUGCCAUUGUUUAUUAGAAAAUUUCAGCUUAAUCCAUUGCCUAUAUGUUACAUGCAUUUCAUUUAACUUUGCUAUACUGUAUAUAUUAUGUAUAUACUGGACAAAUGAGUCCCAAUUUUAUAAUAUCUAGUCUCUAGAUAUUAAAGAGGUUGCCAAUGUAUGACAGAAGUAGAGUUAGUAAACUAACACAUCCUGUAUACUUUGUUAAAAUUCAUAGAAAGGCUGUCUUCUGAGAAAGACUUUCGGAAGUGAAGUAACAUCAGCUCUAAGUGACACAUGUGCCUGUAUCCACCAGGUUGGUGGUGGUGAAGAGUUGGAAGGAACGAAGAGUUCUAGACCAGAAUGUUCCUAUUUAGAAGACACUUUCAUAUAUAACCAUUGUUACAUGUGUGUAGUUUAUUCAACACUACUGUGUAUAUAGUGGACAAACUUAAGUCCUAAUUUGAAACAUCUAGUCUUUCUAGAUGUUUAGAAGUGCACAAAGUAUGUUAAAAGUAGAGGUAGUAAAUAACACAUUUUGUAGCUGUCUUUUUGAUAAUAUCAUCUUUUGGAAAUUGAUCUGUUCUCUGAGCAGUACAUUAUGAUAUCUGUGCAGGUUCAAGGAGAAGGAGGAGCAUAAAGAACUUUCCACCAGUGUGUUUAUGAUGAGGCACAUUGAUCAUUGUCCCUUAUGUCUGCAUUUUCAUUAACUGUGCUGUGUAUAUAGUGUAUAUAAGCGGACAUAAGAGUCCUAAUUUACAUCUAGCCAAUGUUAAAGAGGUUGCCGUUGUAUGACAGAAGUAGAGUUAGUAAAUUCAAUACAUUGAGUAUAUCUUGUGUUAAAAAUCAUAGGGAAGACUUCUUAAAAACAGAAGUGAAAUUGUUAAAAUCCCCCCUAAGCUGUCCAUGGAGUUGGUAGAGGUCAGAAAGGGAGGUAGGUUCUAGGCCAGAAUGUUCCUAUUUAGAGGACACUCAAAUUACAGUCUGUGUUAUGUAUACAUUUAUUCAAUGCUACUGUGUACAUAAUGGAAAACUUCAGUUGGAAAUAUCUAGUCUUUCAUUGGAUGGUGAUGGGUAGGGGAGGAAGAGAUAUGCAGGGAGAAGGGUUCUGUGCCCCUGAGAUUAGUUCAGCUGGUCUAACCAUUGUUCUCUGUGCAUUUUACUUAAUAUUAUGUAUUAAAGGAUAAACAAGUCAAUACUCAGAGUAUGUUAAAAAUACAUAUAGUAAAUCAGUCCCUUUAUGAAUAUCUUUUUGUUAGUUUUUAAGAAGGCCUGUCUUCUGGGAGUGACCUUUAUUAUUAGUCCACCUCUUGGAGCCAGACAUCCUAUACUUAGUCACUGGGGAUGGUGGAAGAAGGAGAAGACAGGGUGAAGGGAAGGGCUCUUUACUAGUAUCUCCAUAUCUAGAAGAUGGUUUUAGAUGAUAACCACAGGUCUAUGUAAGUGUUUUUAGUAAAGUGUCUGUGUUUAUUGUGGACAAAGUUCAUUAUUUUGCAACAUGUAAGCUUUAUGAAUGUCUGGGGUGACAACAUAGAGUUAGUGAAUUAGCCAAUUUGUAAAUACCUUUGUUGUAAUUGAUAGAAAAGAUGCAUCUUGGACAUGGAAUUGUAAGCCACCUCUGAGCAGUAUAUGUCAGGACUUGUUCAUUAGUUGGCAGCAGAGGGGCAGAAGGAACUCUAAAGGGAGAGAUGUAUGCAGAUGUGUCCAUAUUUACAUUUUGAUGCUAGCCAUUAAUGUAUGCGUCUCUUGUGGCUGUACUAUAGGAAUAUAUUAAAUAAUUCAAUGGAAAUAUACCUUACUAAUAUUUUAAUAGCAUAGAUCUGCUAAUGAGCUCUCUUAGAAGCGUAAUACUUAGUGUAUUCUGUUGCUGUAUGCUUCCUUUUAAAUUGAGCAUUAAGGGAAUGCAGGAUUUAAAUCGGAACUCUGCCAAUGCUUUUAUCUAGAGGCGUGUUGCCAUUUUUGUCUUUAUGAAAUUUUUAUCCCAAGAAAGACAGGAUUACAUUUUUUUUUUUUAACAGACUGAGUUGGUGUAGUGUAUUUUUGGUUAUCAAAAUGCUCAUAUAGCUUUGGGAUUUUGAAUUGGUAAAUAUUCAUGAUGUGUGAAAAAUCAUGAUACAUACUGUACAAUCUCAGUCCCAUAAAAUUGGAUGUUGUGCCUGUAGACGCACAGGACCUAGAAGAAUGUGUCAAACUAUAAACUGCUUGUGAUUGUGACUUUGUUAUUUGAUUCUCGUGUUUUUCAGUUUCCUCUUAUGUACUUUUUAAAAGUAAAAGUUAUUUUAAAAACAUGUAUUAAGCCCUCGUUGCUUGUAGAAUAAAGUUAGUAUACUUCACAGAA